Solanum dulcamara is the source of this 2069-nucleotide long non-coding RNA. RefSeq lists it as uncharacterized. The record is from RefSeq and is a predicted model, not a curated record. NCBI's taxonomy places the organism in Eukaryota, Viridiplantae, Streptophyta, Magnoliopsida, Solanales, Solanaceae. The transcript is spliced from 2 exons.
CACUCUUUCUUCUCUUUUCUUUCCUCACCACGCGCCCCUCCUCUUCAUUCCCAAUAGUGAGCCAAAACGACGAAGAACAAGGGUGGAGGAUCCCUAGUUCUCACCCAAAACUACGCCCGAGUUCUUCUUCUGAUGUCCAUACGAGAACUAGCGUGCUAGACACAAACGUUCAUGCCAGCAAGGCUCCAGAAACCUUUGAGAGUAAGCCACACAACAUAAUUUCCAAUCGAUUUCUCAAUUUCUCUCUCAAAACCGUUCGAUUUUGCACUGAAUCGUACGACUGCAACUAUUCAAUCUUAUCCUCCAAGGAAUUCUAUUUUUCCUCAAGUCCCAUAUCGAUUGGGAACCCCCAAAAUGGCAAGAAAUUCAACUAUAAAUAACCUCAAUUCCUCACUAUUAGAGGAGGGCUCAGAGAGCUUGGAGAUGAAGAACACCCCCUUGUUUGGGAGUUCUAAGUUUUUUAGAGAAAUUUUUCUAACUCAGCUGUCCCUAGUCAUCUUUUAGCUCAUCGGAGCCUACUCAUGGUAUUGGAGCUCAUCGUCCUCAAGCGUCGUCCCAACCGCUGCACUUAAAAAAGGACGCAUCUAUGGCUACUUGGUGUUAUUUUUAGGAUCGAUUGAGAUUAAGCAAUCACUGUAUUGCUGGGCAAAUCACAUGUUGGACUCUUGGUCAGAUUGUUCUUUAUUGAGGUUUGAUAUUAGUCAUGGAUAGAGUGUACAUUUAUAGGUAAUUUGUCGGGUCAAGUUGACCUUUCAUCUGUUUCAUUUUAUAUCGAGCAUGAGCUUGUUUGCCUCAUCUAUAACAUUCUAUUUUGUAUUGUGCCAACGUGCAUUUCGAAUUCGCAUUGUUUUGGUUUUUGAGGUCUGAAUACUGUUUUGGGAUGAAUCUGUCUCAAAUCCACCGUUUUAAACUUGGUGAGCUAGUUAGAUUUUGGAUUCGGUGUAAGCAUGACUCUUUCACCUUGUUAUUGAUAUUGUAAUUUGUGGAGUUCAAGUCUUAUAUGAUGGUACAGUUUUGUUUGAUAUUUCUCCCUGCCUUCCUCUCUGAUAUAACUUUUCCUCUUAAGUUUCCUUUUAGAUGUUGAGUGAUUAUUCUUGGCUUGGUUAAUAUCCCAGGUCAAUUUCUGAAAUUACGCUCCACUGUUUGCGUAGUUUGGUUGAUUUAGAUAGUGUCCUCUUGUCUCUGGAUAUAUUAUUAUGAUCUAAUUUUGAAAGUUUGUUGAUUCUGUGAAUUAACCUCUUUUCCUUGCAAUUUCAAUUUGGGACCUAUGCUUUCCCUAAAACUUUUCGUAUUGUCAACUUAGUUAAUUUUCCUUUGCUUACUGUGAACCUUGGUCAAUCCUAUGUAUUAAAUUAUUGACAUGAUUUAUUCUUAUUAAAGUGGUGUGGAUUAAGUGAUUGAUUGUUCAACUCAUUUUCAUACAUUUCAAUUGCUAAUUUUAUCUUUUCUGUCUGUUUGGGUACAAACUCUCAUAAUGAGUCCUUUGGGACUCUCAUGUCAGGUGCGAAUUUCUUACCCGAAUUUGGAAACUACCCCUAUUCCUAUUUAGGGAGUUGAGGCGAAAAAUGGCUUGAUGAACUGUUCGCCACGCACCGGCCACAUUCACUUGCUUAUCGUAGAGGCUGUAAGUACACAGUGCCCCACAAGUAGGCUGCUUUUUCCGGAACGCAGUCCGAGAGUCCUUGCAUUUCUGAUUGGGACCGAAACCCAUCAUUAGUCCUUUGAGUCAGCCUCAUCAUCAAGGGGGAAGCUGGUAUACAUUCAAUAUGCAUGCUGAUACAGGUUGAAGAAUGGGCGUAAAGCUCAAAUCCCAGGAGCUAAUAUACAGAGUGGAAGUUGGUAUACAAAGUCGAUAUGCAACAUAUAUAUAGUCAGUAUACCUGUGGUAUACAAAAAUGGAAAUGGGCCAGAAAGCCCAAAUGCAGGAGUGGAAUUGAUCGAGUUUGGGUCCAAAAGGAUUUGAAUUUAGCAAAUUGAUUAUUUAUUUAUGUCUUUAUUUGUUGCUAUUUUAUGCUAGAUUAAUUCUAAUUUUAACUCUAAUUUAACUUAAUUAAAUUCCCUAAAACGAA